Panicum virgatum (switchgrass) is the source of this 1221-nucleotide long non-coding RNA. RefSeq lists it as uncharacterized. The transcript is spliced from 4 exons. NCBI's taxonomy places the organism in Eukaryota, Viridiplantae, Streptophyta, Magnoliopsida, Poales, Poaceae. The record is from RefSeq and is a predicted model, not a curated record.
AGAGUUUCUGAAUUGGGCAUUUGACGAGGAACACCGCAGCAUACUUCACACCUCGCAACAACCUGGUCAGAUCCCAGUUUUGUCCACUCACACACCUCUCAGGUCUUGGCGGCUCGACCAGAGGUGGACACCGAGGUUGGCACGGGCUGGGCUGCUUCCCCUUGCGCGGAUGAUCCAGGCCACAGAGGACGUCGUCGCACAGCCUGCCCACGGGGAGCCUGCACACGUGGAGCGAUCAUGACGGUCCCGUUCGACCGCUCGCUCCUGUCGUGCUGGGCAGACCGGUGGCGGCCGGAGACGCACACGUUUCACUUGCCGUGCGAGGAGAUGACCAUCACUCUGCAGGACGUGGCAAUGCUGACAGGGUUACCGAUUGCAGGAGACCCUAUCGGCCCCAUGGCGGCGGGGCCGCCAGGUUGGCAACAGGACUUGGAGGCUAGGUUUGCGGCGGUGCUUGAGCCACCUGAAGCAGCUGGGUUGUUGCGUAUCCCAGCUGAUCAGAGGGAUGGCCCAACGAUGAUGUGGCUAGAGCAGUUUCGGGUUGAGCGGAUGGUGGCACAACCUACGGAGGAGCAGGUAGCUCGCCACUUGGAGGCAUUCCUACUUUAGCUGUUUGGGUCAGUCAUGUUCACAUCGACCCAUGGCAACACAGUCAAUGCGCGUUGGAUACCCAUUGCACGCGCUAUCGCGGAGGUUGACAUGGAUGCUAUCCCACAACUUUCUUGGGGAUCCGCUGGCCUUUGUGGCACGUACCAAGCCCUUUGUGACGCCUGCAUCCAGUCGUCGUCGUCGUCCAUACUGGCAGGGAUGCCCCUCCUUGUGCAGUUGUGGUCCUUCGAGCGGUUUCAGGUCGGCCGCCCACUUGUUCAGCCGAGUUACUACACCGACGACAUGUACGGUGGCGACGAGAUAGACAGACCCACUAUGUGGUCACUUUGGACAUGGAGACUACCACAGUGGGUAGGGCUCAAUGUGCACUCGACUUACGAGUCAUUCAUGGAGGCGUUCGACCACCUCCAGCCAGAGCAGGUUGUGUGGGAGCUUUACCGGCCGGAGCUUGUGGCCGUGCGUACUGGUGGACGAGGGCUCUCAUACCUUUGCCACCGAGACAAGGUGUACUGGAUAACGAAGAAGAAGCUAGUGCAUGACAUGGUCAUUCAGGACUAUGCUGUCCACCGCUGCAUGCAGCAAUUCGGUCUGCGGCAGGAGUUUCCGAUGACA